GUCCACGCCGUAAACGAUGGAUACUAGCUGUUGGGGGCAACUUCAGUGGCUAAGCGAAAGUGAUAAGUAUCCCACCUGGGGAGUACGUUCGCAAGAAUGAAACUCAAAAGGAAUUGACGGGGGCCCGCACAAGCGGUGGAGCAUGUGGUUUAAUUCGAUGAUACGCGAGGAACCUUACCAAGGCUUAAAAUGUAGAUUGACAGGACUGGAAACAGUUUUUUCUCGGACAAUUUACAAGGUGCUACAUGGUUGUCGU
Molecule: ribosomal RNA, 256 nt
Filed under: uncultured bacterium
Lineage: Bacteria
Description: partial 16S ribosomal RNA
Rfam family: Bacterial small subunit ribosomal RNA
Source: RNAcentral